UUCUUAAUAAUACGCUUCUUGGUAACUUGUUUCUUAGGUUUGCCUUCUUCGGUGAUGACCUCAGUCACCUUAACCUCUUCAGGAAGUUCUUGAAUGAUGGCUUCCUGUGGUUGAACAGUCGAUGGCUGGAAUU
Molecule: long non-coding RNA, 133 nt
Filed under: Aedes aegypti (yellow fever mosquito)
Lineage: Eukaryota; Metazoa; Arthropoda; Insecta; Diptera; Culicidae
Description: lncRNA AAEL024193
Source: RNAcentral